Molecule: ribosomal RNA, 253 nt
Filed under: uncultured bacterium
Lineage: Bacteria
Description: partial 16S ribosomal RNA
Rfam family: Bacterial small subunit ribosomal RNA
Source: RNAcentral
UACAGAGGGGGCAAGCGUUGUUCGGAAUUACUGGGCGUAAAGGGCGCGUAGGUGGCCUUCUAAGUUGAACGUGAAAUCCCUGGGCUCAACCCAGGAACUGCGUCCAAGACUGGGAGGCUUGAAUCCGGGAGAGGGAUGCGGAAUUCCAGGUGUAGCGGUGAAAUUCGUAGAUAUCAGGAGGAACACCGGUGGCGAAGGCGGCUACCUGGACCGAUACUGACGCUGAUACACGAAAGCGUGGGGAGCAAACAGG